AGUGGAGAGGUAGAGCUACUGAAGAUCCUGACGCGGCACUGUUAGGUACCAAAGCCUUCCAUCACUGCAACUGGGAGAUCUGAGUCCUUACACAUUUCGGGGAAGCAAGCGUCACUUUCCUCUCUCAACUCAUCGGUGGUGAAGCGUCUCGUCCAGGAUUUUCAUAGCCUACAUUCAACAACGAGCAGUGAACGCGUUUGUGCCGUUAUCCCCCCCACCCCCGAAGGCUAACAACGGAGAGAAGAUAAAGUCACUUCUGCUGCAGAACUCCCUCCGUGCACCUUUUCAAGAUGAGCGAGCUGGCAUCCACUGACUCCACCAACAGCAGCCAGACGCCUGCAUCUGACAACAAAGGCAUCAGCAGUGAAG
Lampris incognitus (smalleye Pacific opah) is the source of this 369-nucleotide long non-coding RNA. RefSeq lists it as uncharacterized. The transcript is spliced from 3 exons. The record is from RefSeq and is a predicted model, not a curated record. NCBI's taxonomy places the organism in Eukaryota, Metazoa, Chordata, Actinopteri, Lampriformes, Lampridae.